Molecule: long non-coding RNA, 271 nt
Filed under: Elaeis guineensis (African oil palm)
Lineage: Eukaryota; Viridiplantae; Streptophyta; Magnoliopsida; Arecales; Arecaceae
Description: long non-coding RNA (EGUI_LNC059161)
Source: RNAcentral
GAUCUCCUAGCCAUUCAAAAUCCUGAGGUAUAUGUUGGCUGUAGCAUAUUCAUUGUAGGAAUUAGAUUGCACCAAGAUGGGAUUUAUCAAUCUCGAUAGAUAAGAGGAAUAGUCCUAUGAUGAUCGAAAGAUUAAGUCCUUAAGCCCAUAGCCAUGGCAGAGUGAAAUAAUGGAAAAGAGUUUUUCAUCAAGAUUUCACAUCAGACUUGGAUCGAUCGAUUGAUUCAUAUGACUGAUGUUGGGUUUGACGAGUUUACCUUAACACUAAUUC